This 941-nucleotide long non-coding RNA is filed under the name Nicotiana benthamiana. Its description in RNAcentral is "long non-coding RNA (NBEN_LNC022032)". The record is from RNAcentral. Lineage: Eukaryota; Viridiplantae; Streptophyta; Magnoliopsida; Solanales; Solanaceae.
CGAUAAUCAUUAAUAGCACAAAAACGUAGCUGAAUUUAUGCUAGAAACCAAACUUUCAUGCUUCCCGUCAACUGAUUUACUUCUUUGUAGAGGAAGAGCGUGUAUUCAUAUCCCUUAGUAGAACCCAUACAUCUAAUCAUCAAAAUCAAAAUCAAAUUAUUUCGUUCAUAGCAAGGUUCUCAAUCUCAAAACAUAGAUCAGCCAAUGCAUCUUGCAUUUGAUAGCCAUACUAAUAUGUACAAGUAUCGGAAUCUUAAAAUGCAGACAGCCAUGACCAUCAAGUUAACGGCAUGUAGUUUAAGGUACAACUUAUCCUUCUAUAAUGGUAUAAGGUCAACUGAGCAUAUUGACCGUCUAGUUAACGGCAGGUAGUUUAAAGUACAACUUAUCCUUCUGUAAUGGUAUAAGGUCAACUGAGCAUAUAUUUAAAUUGUUGAUCUUGGAUUGGUGAUUAAUUGAAAUCUCAAACUAUAGAAAAACCUUGCAUACAACGAGCUGAAAGUAAAAGAAUGAAAAGUGUUGUGUUUCUAUCUUAUAUGUGUGGCCUACUUCAUUUACCCUUUUACCUGAUAGGUCACAUACAUAGUAGACUCUCUACUUCAUUUGCAGAGAAUGCAAAUAACAUACAUUGGAGAAGUCAGUGAUUUGUGGCUUUCCCUAUCUUCAAAUCAAUUGUAAGAUCAUCCUUCUUGUCACCCUGAUAUUGCAAUUUUUUUUAAACAAUGAUGAUCAAGUCUCGCCUUAAUUUUCAGUAUUAGGGUAAGAACACUCAUGUGUAAAACCAUGUUAAACAGGUUAUCUUUAGACAAUUGCUUCUGAUAAAUGGAUGACCAACAGUAUAAUCCCAUUCAGGAUAUUUACCAUACAAGAUAAAACAAUCCACCAGUUCAGCAGGACAGGCAGAAAUAGAAAUGAAUGAAUGAACUCACUCACUCACAUUG